RNAcentral lists this ribosomal RNA (743 nucleotides) under uncultured bacterium. RNAcentral's name for it is "bacterial SSU rRNA". It matches the Rfam family "Bacterial small subunit ribosomal RNA", at positions 8 to 796 of the family's 1533-position model. The record is from RNAcentral.
AGAGUUUGAUCAUGGCUCAGAACGAACGCUGGCGGCAGGCCUAAUACAUGCAAGUCGAGCGGGCGUAGCAAUACGUCAGCGGCGGACGGGUGAGUAACACGUGGGAACAUGCCCCGAGGUACGGAACAACUCAGGGAAACUUGAGCUAAUACCGUAUAUUCCGGCAACGGCAAAGAUUUAUCGCCUUGGGAUUGGCCCGCGUCCGAUUAGCUAGUUGGUGAGGUAACGGCCCACCAAGGCACCGAUCGGUAGCUGGUUUGAGAGAACGACCAGCCACACUGGGACUGAGACACGGCCCAGACUCCUACGGGAGGCAGCAGUAGGGAAUCUUGGACAAUGGGGGAAACCCUGAUCCAGCCAUGCCGCGUGAGUGAUGAAGGCCUUCGGGUUGUAAAACUCUUUCGACGGGGACGAUAAUGACGGUACCCGUAGAAGAAGCUCCGGCUAACUUCGUGCCAGCAGCCGCGGUAAUACGAAGGGGGCUAGCGUUGUUCGGAAUUACUGGGCGUAAAGCGCGCGCAGGCGCCUUUCAAGUCAGGGGUGAAAGCCCGGAGCUCAACUCCGGAAUUGCCUUUGAAACUGUCAGGCUCGAGUACGGGAGAGGUGAGUGGAAUUCCCAGUGUAGAGGUGAAAUUCGUAGAUAUUGGGAAGAACACCGGUGGCGAAGGCGGCUCACUGGCCCGUUUCUGACGCUCAGGCGCGACAGCGUGGGGAUCAAACAGGAUUAGAUACCCCGGUAGUCC